RNAcentral lists this ribosomal RNA (855 nucleotides) under Triticum aestivum (bread wheat). Its description in RNAcentral is "partial small subunit ribosomal RNA". The record is from RNAcentral. Lineage: Eukaryota; Viridiplantae; Streptophyta; Magnoliopsida; Poales; Poaceae.
AUGGAUCAACAUCGGCAGCGGCGCGUACAUGGAUCUUGCUGGCAACGGCAAAACCCGCCGUUUCGCCGCCCCGAAGGGAUGGUCGUGUGCUCCCCUCAUCUCGUCGUCGCCACAUCCGCCUGCAAUGGUCCACUCAAAAUUGCAUGUUUUCGGCCACGCAAUGAAAUGGCGAUCCACCCGGCGAUGCUUUUAUUGUCAGAAGGAGAUUACUCGCACGCUCAUCAACGCCAUGAUCCGAACUUCAUCUACAUGGACAUAGCCUUCCACCAUGGAAAGGUCUUUGCUCUGAGCUUAACAGAGAAUCUCUUUGCCUUUGAUUUGGCCAUCGAAGAGAUGUCGCUAUCUCAAACUAGGAGUCGUGUCGAGCAUGCCAUCAAGGAAGGGCCAGCUGCAGCGGCAGGUGCCGCGGUACAUUACCGCAACCACCACCUGGUCACAUCUUCGGACGAACAAAAACUACUAAUGGUGCGGUGGCGAAUCCCUUUACUGGAAGGUUGGAGAAAGUUUGAUCAUCGAAUGAUGGAUCUGCAAGUGUUCGAGGCAGACUUGCAGAAGGGCCGGUGGUCCGAGGUCAAGGACUUGGGUGACCAGGCCCUUUUCGUUGGCCAAACGGGAGCGAGAGCGCUUGCGGUGGGCGGUUUGUCAGAUCAGAUGUUCCAAGGGAAUCGUGUGUUCAUUCUCGGCGAUGACUGGGCAUGGUUCCGCCCCUGGUGUAAAUGUUCUGGCUGCAAAAAACUCGGCUAUAAAGCUCCUAGCUAUUGUGUGUACGACAUGAUGAGCGGUGAAGCUAGUUUAGUUUCUUUAGGUGGAGGUCAUUGUUCGAAAGAGUCUCCCAAUAUGGCAUGGUUUUUUCCC